ACUCCCAAACCCCAAUGUGAACGUUACCAAUCUGUUGCCUCGGCGGGAUUCUCUUGCCCCGGGCGCGUCGCAGCCCCGGAUCCCAUGGCGCCCGCCGGAGGACCAACUCCAAACUCUUUUUUUCUCUCCGUCGCGGCUCCCGUCGCGGCUCUGUUUUAUUUUUGCUCUGAGCCUUUCUCGGCGACCCUAGCGGGCGUCUCGAAAAUGAAUCAAAACUUUCAACAACGGAUCUCUUGGUUCUGGCAUCGAUGAAGAACGCAGCGAAAUGCGAUAAGUAAUGUGAAUUGCAGAAUUCAGUGAAUCAUCGAAUCUUUGAACGCACAUUGCGCCCGCCAGUAUUCUGGCGGGCAUGCCUGUCCGAGCGUCAUUUCAACCCUCGAACCCCUCCGGGGGGUCGGCGUUGGGGAUCGGCCCCUCACCGGGCCGCCCCCGAAAUACAGUGGCGGUCUCGCCGCAGCCUCUCCUGCGCAGUAGUUUGCACACUCGCACCGGGAGCGCGGCGCGGCCACAGCCGUAAAACACCCCAAACUUCUGAAAUGUUGACCUCGGAUCAGGUAGGAAUACCCGCUGAACUUAAGCAUAUCAAUAAGCGGAGGAAAAGAAACCAACAGG
This 612-nucleotide ribosomal RNA is filed under the name Trichoderma sp. BAB-3577. RNAcentral describes it as "eukaryotic LSU rRNA". The stretch from base 214 to 367 matches the Rfam family "5.8S ribosomal RNA". Lineage: Eukaryota; Fungi; Ascomycota; Sordariomycetes; Hypocreales; Hypocreaceae. The record is from RNAcentral.